RNAcentral lists this ribosomal RNA (310 nucleotides) under uncultured eukaryote. RNAcentral's name for it is "partial 18S ribosomal RNA". It matches the Rfam family "Eukaryotic small subunit ribosomal RNA", at positions 1470 to 1796 of the family's 1831-position model. The record is from RNAcentral.
CCCUUAGAUGUUCUGGGCUGCACGCGUGCUACACUGAUUCUUUCAACAAGUGUUUUAACUGGAGAGUUCGCGUAAUCCUGAAAUGUUAUCGUGAUGGGAGUAGAGUAUUGUAUUUGUUAAUCUUUAACGAGGAAUUCCUAGUAAGUGUAGGUUUAUAAGUUGUUCUGAUUACGUCCCUGCCCUUUGUACACACCGCCCGUCGCUCCUACCGAUUGAUUGAUCCGGUGAAUUACAUAGAAUUUUGCGUUUUACAUGACGGAAGACGAAGUGUUUUAAACCUUAUCAUUUAGAGGAAGGAGAAGUCGUAACA